This is a long non-coding RNA of Haliotis rubra (blacklip abalone), 183 nucleotides long. RefSeq lists it as uncharacterized. The record is from RefSeq and is a predicted model, not a curated record. NCBI's taxonomy places the organism in Eukaryota, Metazoa, Mollusca, Gastropoda, Lepetellida, Haliotidae. The transcript is spliced from 4 exons.
GGGAACCAAGGACAGUGUUAUAUUGGCAUCAAAGAAUGACAGUCAAUCUGUGGAAAUGGGAACCAAGGACACUGCUAUGUUGGCAUCAAAGAAUGACAGUCAAUCUGUGGCAAUGUGAACCAAGGACAGUGCUAUGUUGGCAUCAAAGAAUGACAGUCAAUCUGUCGAAAUGGGUAUUCCCAU